GAUGAACGCUGGCGGCGUGCCUAAUACAUGCAAGUCGAGCGAACAGACGAGGAGCUUGCUCCUCUGACGUUAGCGGCGGACGGGUGAGUAACACGUGGAUAACCUACCUAUAAGACUGGGAUAACUUCGGGAAACCGGAGCUAAUACCGGAUAAUAUAUUGAACCGCAUGGUUCAAUAGUGAAAGACGGUUUUGCUGUCACUUAUAGAUGGAUCCGCGCCGCAUUAGCUAGUUGGUAAGGUAACGGCUUACCAAGGCAACGAUGCGUAGCCGACCUGAGAGGGUGAUAGGCCACACUGGAACGGAGACACGGUCCAGACUCCUAAGGGAGGCAGCAGUAGGGAAUCUUCCGCAAUGGGCGAAAGCCUGACGGAGCAACGCCGCGUGAGUGAUGAAGGUCUUCGGAUCGUAAAACUCUGUUAUUAGGGAAGAACAAAUGUGUAAGUAACUAUGCACGUCUUGACGGUACCUAAUCAGAAAGCCACGGCUAACUACGUG
Molecule: ribosomal RNA, 497 nt
Filed under: uncultured bacterium
Lineage: Bacteria
Description: partial 16S ribosomal RNA
Rfam family: Bacterial small subunit ribosomal RNA
Source: RNAcentral